Long non-coding RNA from Hippoglossus stenolepis (Pacific halibut), 474 nucleotides. RefSeq lists it as uncharacterized. The record is from RefSeq and is a predicted model, not a curated record. The transcript is spliced from 2 exons. Lineage: Eukaryota; Metazoa; Chordata; Actinopteri; Pleuronectiformes; Pleuronectidae.
UAGCCGACAGGUAUGUGUUUGAUAUGAUCGAAAAUAUAUAAUAUUUACCCCCCCAAAGUGUGCAACAUAAUCAGGGCAUGUGCAGUUCUGCACAACAUAUCCCAAAUAGUUGGUCCUCCCCUUAAUCCUGACCUCAACCCCCACCAAAUGAUGACCCUGUCCCACUGCCCCCUCCCCGACAGGAAGCCUACCACUUGGGAGCGAGGAUAGGAGAGGAUGUGAUGCGGCGUUUGUGAAAAUACAAACAAAUGCAAAGCACAGCAUCGGUCAGCACGCGCCCAGAGGUGCCAAGGCGCACGGGACGCACUGUGGCUGGGGACUGGCUGCCGCCCUGCAGCUGCCUCCUCCCUGGGGGCUUCCAAGCCGGGGGCAUCCUCUCCACCUACUGCCCCCAUCGACUCUGGAGGAACAAACAUAAUUAUCGUACUUUAACACAAGUGUAAUUCCGAAUUUAAUAAAACAAAUCUAAUUGUG